CGGGUGAGUAACGCGUGGGUAACCUGCCUCAUACAGGGGGAUAACAGUUAGAAAUGACUGCUAAUACCGCAUAAGCGCACAGAAUCGCAUGAUUCGGUGUGAAAAACUCCGGUGGUAUGAGAUGGACCCGCGUCUGAUUAGCUAGUUGGUGGGGUAAAGGCCUACCAAGGCGACGAUCAGUAGCCGACCUGAGAGGGUGAUCGGCCACAUUGGGACUGAGACACGGCCCAAACUCCUACGGAAGGCAGCAG
RNAcentral lists this ribosomal RNA (251 nucleotides) under uncultured bacterium. RNAcentral describes it as "partial 16S ribosomal RNA". It matches the Rfam family "Bacterial small subunit ribosomal RNA", at positions 103 to 354 of the family's 1533-position model. The record is from RNAcentral.